AUGAGGCUGACUUUGAACUUGUGAUUCUCCUGCCUCAGGCUCCUGAGCACCUGGGAGUACAGAAGCUGGAGCAGCAUAUGGAAGAUUAGAGAUCCCUAAUACUGAAGAAAGAGAACUGAGGAGGGAUCUCUGUGGAUGAGUCAUCCCUCUAUACUUCAGCUAGACCACUUCUCCUAGUCCAGGAGGUAUACCGAAUGAUGCAUUAUCUUGGGCAUAAGAAAGUGACUGUCAUUCUCAUGGACAGUGGAGAAAAAUGGAAGCAUGAGCCAAGAGAAGAUUCCAGAACCUAUGAACAGUCAAACCACUAAAGGAAGAUAGAUGGACAACUGAGGUGAAUAGAAGAGUCAAAGACGGACAAGACUUCUUCAAUUGUUCCUACUUGUGGGGGUUCCCGGGACCCCCAGCCUUGGGCAUGGUCAAGAUGGCGCCUGACGCUGAGCCAAAAGCAGCCAGCUAUACAGUAAACAACCAGCGAAUUCCAAUGAUUGGCUAGU
This is a long non-coding RNA of Sciurus carolinensis (gray squirrel), 494 nucleotides long. RefSeq lists it as uncharacterized. Lineage: Eukaryota; Metazoa; Chordata; Mammalia; Rodentia; Sciuridae. The record is from RefSeq and is a predicted model, not a curated record. The transcript is spliced from 3 exons.